AUAAGAUCACUGGGAUGUGAGAUACGCACGCGUCCUGGUGGCCUCCCAGCUGUCGCGUUACUUUAUACGUCGAAGCUUGAGCCACUUGUAUACACACACAUCUCAUAUAUUUUAUAUAUAAUAUACUCUACUUAUAAUGCUCUUGGUAUAGAAGCAAACCCGGUUACUCGCCCUCUACUCAUACUUUUAAUAUUUCGUCUUCGUCGGUUCACUUCUGGACAAUCAACAACGCACGUGCGUACAAAUCUCAGCUCAAAUCUCCAAUACAUAACAAGACUAAACUUAAUAUAAUGUUUGUAAAGGAGGCUGUAUUACGUUUCGUAAACACUCUCAAAUUACGAACAAAUAUAUAUACUCUCAAGGACUAACUGUGAAGACAUAAAUACCUUGUUCGGCAAAUCCUUGCGAGCAAUUUUAUAUUUACUGUUUUUUAUUAAACGUCGAACGAGUCACGCGGAACGAGUAGUACGCGAUACGAUACGCGCAAACCAAAGUGCGAAGUCAAGGAGACGCGACAUACACACGACACGAGAAAGAAGCCAACAUGGCGUGCUGCAAUAAUCAUCGAUGGCCCGUACACAUGCUUCGCGACGUAUGCCUCAUCUCAUCCACUUCUACUUCUUGUCUUAUAACCACUGUCAAUAAAUAAAUAAAUAAUAAAAGCAAUAUGCAUACGCCAAGUGUACCGUAAAUGAUAUCAAAAUAAAAUCAAGUAUUGAUAAAAAAUAAUUGAGAUGGGAAAAAUGUGACACCUCAAUGCAUCGAUUGCAACCGCGACAGGAUAGGAGAGAUCUCCAAGUCGACGAGGAUGACCGAGUAAGAGAAAGUUCUAGAUCAACUUAUAGACAGCCAAUACCAAUACCAUCUCCAGUACCAAGAGCACGAGCAAGAUGAUCAACCAAGACUUGAACGCCAAAGGAUCGUCUUUCGUGAAAUCUCUGGGUGAUCGCGUGUCGAUAAGUAUUUUUUUUCCGACUGAAAUUACCCAUCCGGAAGUUCACCAGCAAGUAACACAAUACAGUAAAUGUCAAAAUUAUCUACUUGGUUUUUUUUUUUUUUUUUUUCUAAUUUGAAUAAUAAAGAGAAGAAAAUCCAGAGAAUGAUUAAGUUAAUUCCGAGUACUUGUGUCAUUAAUUCCUUCAAGUUUAAGGUCUCGUCUCGACACAAGUCUGGACUUUCGUCAACCGUCGUGGUCGUGCUCGUCGUCGCUGUGCCGUUUAGCUUGUAAACUUCUUGGAAAGAUCAUCUCGGUAUGCACUGCAGCACCGAGAUGUGAUCGUCGUGUAAGUCUGCAGCUGUCGGCGAGUCUAUACGCACGCACUUGGUACAGUCUUAGCGACCUUGCUCUUGUCCUUUCUAGGCUUACACUGCAUCUCUGGUUACUCAUACUCACAAACAGACACACAUACAUACGUAAUAAACAUUGU
This is a long non-coding RNA of Microplitis mediator, 1427 nucleotides long. RefSeq lists it as uncharacterized. NCBI's taxonomy places the organism in Eukaryota, Metazoa, Arthropoda, Insecta, Hymenoptera, Braconidae. The transcript is spliced from 3 exons. The record is from RefSeq and is a predicted model, not a curated record.